UUCUAGAAAUUUAUACUAGUUAAGAGAAUAUGCAAGUCAUGCAAUAACCUUACCUCAUUAAGUAUGGUUAGCACGGUCUCAGGUUUAAGCUCCUUGGCUUGGAUACCUUGUUUUACGCAAGACUGGAAGCCACCUUGGACCAGGUAUGGUCUCUGUCACAUAAAAAUGCAAACAAACAAUUAGCAAUAUGAUACAAUAGGUUGUGGUUCCAGAUUAACAAUAGACUCACCUGGCAGUUCAAAUUUUCUUAUAAUGCAGGUCACAAGGUUUAAUUCUGCAAAAUUCUACUAUCUUCUGUAUCUAAAUUAUAUGAUUAGUCCAGGAAUGACCCAUGAUAUCAUCUAGAAUUCACGCAUUUAACUUGUUUCUCUGCAAGCCAUUUACACUACAAUACAGCCCAGCAAUCUAUGGAGUGAAAUAAAAGAACAUUGAAAUUGAUUAAUACAUUGCACUUCCCAUUCAAGCAAGGUAAAGACUUUUUUUUUUUUUUUUUUGAGAGAGAGAUAUUUUAAGGACAUAAGUUAGAUGUAAUACUAAUGCGCUUUAUGAAUUAUACCACUUGAGAACAACAGGAAUGAAAAUUGGGUUCUAUCUAUAGCAUUUAUACGACAUAAAAACAUGCAUAAGGAGUAACGGUUUUUGACUUAACAACAUUGUAAAUGCACAAAAGACAUUAAUGUACUCUUCCCAAAUCUAGUUCAUAUGGAUAUUGUUAUUUGUUUCUAAGGUUACUGAUACUGAAAAACUCUCAGAAAUGUUUUUUAUUCCAAAGAUAAAUUUUCUUUUCGCCCUUCUAGUUCAUGAUGAAUAAUUAGAUGUUUAGCCUUUUAUGUAAUAAAAAAAAUCUUAGAGAUUCCAAAUACUUGCCUUAACCCCAAGCUUUCUCAAGGAUCUAGCGAUGCUUUUAGAACGAGAACCAUCAACAUCCAUAACAAUUACCUGGUACCUGUCCUACAAGUAUAAGAAAAAAAAAAUCUCUGAGACAAUGUUCCUGCUUCAGGAUUUAAACAUGGAACGCUCAGGAGAUUGUGAUGUAGCAACUGUACUGCAUAUGGUAAUACCAAAACAAUUUCUUGUGUCCUCAGAGGCCACUGAUGCUAAAACACACAACAUUGCUUGAACCAAGCCCAAAUCCCUCCCCCCGAGAAUUUCCUUUCUUUCUUGCACUACUCAGAAUUCUCAUUUUUCUGAAUGUCUCGAAACAAUGACGGCAUGCAUAAACAAUAGUUAUAUCAUUAAAGUUAAUAUAAAAAAAUUAAAUAUAUAGGAUUUUUAUUAUUUUUUUAAUAUAAAAAAUUUCUAAUUAUAAAUUAAAAUAUUUAUAUAUACAUUAAGUUAAUAAAUUAAUAUUUGAUCAAUAAAUAACUAAAUAGAAUUAAGAUAUUUAUACAACAAAAAAUUAAAUGUGAAAAAAAAUAAAAAUAAACACGAAGAUCAUUUCCUAAAAAAUUAAAUAUUAGGGGUGAAAUUAAAAAAAUAAUUUUAAAAAAUAUAAAAAGAUAAAAAUCUACAAUUGUGAACUUUUGAAAGUCGUGAUAAUUGUUUUUAAAAAAUUGGAAUUGAAGAACUAAAUUAAAAACAAAUAAAACUUUUUCAAAAUGGUUAAGGAAAAGAAUUAAAUAUAGAAAGAAUAAGGAUCAUAGCUGAAAUAUCAAUAAUAAAGAUGACCAACUUGUAACUUUUGAAAGAAAAGAAAAAAAAAAUAACUUGUCAAUGACAAACCAACCAACCUCUACCAAAAAGACAAAUUGACCACCUAAGGCACACGCACAUCGCCCAAAGAACACAAAUGUCUCUCAUGCGAUGACAUGUGAAUUACGUGUAUCAAUAACUUUUUAAAUUUAAAAAUUAGUUAAUCAUUUUAAAUGACCAAAUUGUCCCUCAUAGUUUUGCAAUUAACAAAAAAAUCCGAUGUCAACAAACAAAAAAAAUCUCUAGACUAAUGAUUUAUUUUUUCUUGAUUUGUAAGAGUAAAUAUAUUUUUUUACUGUAUUUAAAAAACUUAAAUACCCUUAAUAAAUAAUGUCAUAACUCAAUUCUGAGUUAUUCUUCAAAAUUCACUUUUUUUUAAAAUAAAAAUAAAAAAUAAAAUAAAGGCUGACAACGUGGAGAAAGUAGGCCAGGAAAUCAAGUUGGAAUUUUUGGAAGAAAUUCAAGACCUAAUUAUACCCCAUUAUGCCCAAAAAUGGAGAAAAAUGCAAAUUCAAGGUUAAAUUAAAUGAUGAUUGGAUAAAUUUGCAUAAAAAUUAAGUCCAAUGACAUAAUUAAAUUUUUCAUAGGCCAAUUUGAUUUAAUCAUGGGCCAAAUUAAAUUUUAAUUAUGUUUAAGAACUAAUUUGGGUCCAAUUGAAGGAUUUAAUUAAGUGCAAGGACUUAAUUAUACUUUAAAUAGGUCAAAUUUAUUUUAUUUGGGGCUUAAUUGGUGAAAAAUUAAGUUUGGGAGCCUAAUUUGGGCUUAAUUGAGAAGAUUGGAAUUUUAAGAGACCAAAUUUAAUUUUUACCAAGUUAAUUGAUUGAAAUUAGGGGCCAAAUUGCAAGAUAAUUGAAUUUUUGAGGUCAAUUAAGCGUUAAAUUGACAAAAUUAGAAGUCAAGGAUCAAUAUGCAAAAGGCGCCAAAUUAUAGGGGUUUAAUUGAUAAAAUUCGGGGGUUAAAUUGAAGAAAUUGAAAGUUUAAUAGUCAAUUCGGGAUGAAAUUGCAUAAAUCCGAGACGAAGGACCAUAUUGCAAAAGACGCGUAAAUCCAGGGUUAAAGUUGAAGUUACGCCAGGACCUAAUUGCAUUAAAUCAAAAGUUUAUGAUCAAUUAGGGAUUCUAUUGAAAGCAAUUGAAAGCUGGAGGACUAAAUUAAAAAUCAGCAAAAAUCCCUAAUUUUAGGCCAAAACAGCACCGUCUUUGAGUAAAAAAACAAAAGAAGAGACCAGGCGAUGCGUCGCCUGGUCACUGUUCAUCAUCUUCCUCGUGAAGCUGUCAGGGUAGCAGUUUUGCAGGUGCAUUUAAUGCAUCGUUUGUCCCCCAACAUUGACAAAUCAUGCACCAAAAUGACCACCUGAAAAUCCCUAUAUCCCCGAGUAUUAUCCGUUCAGGCCUAUAAACGUCAAAACUGCUUCGACGACUGACCUGAAGUAGGCAAUUCGGGCAGCCUUGGACUGUCAAAUUUGGCAGUUCGAGGUGCACACUUUGAACCAACGGUUGGGAUGCUUACCAACCAAGCCAAAGGCCAUGAUUUGGCGUCAGGUAGCACCACCCCGUCAUCGUUGUAACUAAGUUGUUGCAUACAGAACGAAUUCUCGUUUUGCAUGUAGCCUUAUUAAUUUGCAUGGUUGUUGGGUCGGGCCAAACACCAUGCUGGCUUGGGCCGGACCAUUUGGGCCCGGCCCCGCCCAAAAAAGAAAAGAAAAGGAUCUGUUGGGCCGAGAUCGGACCAACCAAAAGUUCCUGGGCUUGGCCUAGUCAUCUGGGCCGGCCCAGCCCACAUGUUUUAAUAAUAUUUAUUUAAUAUAAUUUUAUAUAUUUCUUUACAAAAAAAAGAAAAAAAUCCAAAAAUUUUCAAAAACAAUUAAAAAAAUUGUGAUUUUCUUAAAUAUUUUUCUACCAAUUUUGCAUAAUAUCGGGUUGUAUAUUUACACUGUAAAAUACAAAUCCAGUAUUAAAAUACUCGGUUUUCUCUGAAAUAUUUCAAAAAAAAAUUCAAAACAUUUUCAAAAAAAAAUCUCAAAAAAUAUAUUUUGUUUUCAUGCAUACGGCCAAAUCCUAAAAAAUUUCCAAGCAUAUUUUCAUUAAAAGAUUGCAUCUUUCUCAUGUUUUAAAAAUCCAAAAAUAGAUAUCAUAACCAGUUUAUAAUCAUCCAUUAGGAUUUGGCCAAAAUAUCAAAAAUCUUUUUCCAAUCUUUUUUAGGAUCCAGAUGUAGACUUUAAUAUUUGUAGGAUGUAAAAUUACACGAUAAAAUACACCCUCAAGUAUUAAAGACACAAGGUGUAAAAAUACGAUGCUAAAAUUUAGAUUUUAGAACGAUUAGAUUUUAACCCGAUAGGAUAGAGACUUUCUCAUGAAGAUAGAUCUACCUUGAGCCUUAGAAAAGACCAACGAAUAGAACCCGACUUAGAAAAAACAAUCAAACAACAAUGCAGCUUACCUUAGGUAGGAUGCCCUGGGGUGAUGCGUCUUUCCCUUUCACAACCAGUCCCUUACUUAGACUCUCGCAGACCAUAGGUUCCUAAUAACCAUUAAUACUAGGUCGCUAGACGACAUCGCGGCGCUCGACCCCCGCGACAAAUAACAUUAGUUUUUUUUAUAUGAAGAUUAAAAUAAUCAUUUUACUACGCAUAAAAAAUAAAAAAGUCCCAUAUGUCCUAGUAAAAAAAUUGCCCAUAACUCAAAAGCUUCUGGUUACAUAUAUGUUUCCCGGUGAAAUAAUUAACUGACCAAUACGAAAAGAUAGAAUUGCCCUUAACUCAUAAGCGUUUUGGUUUCUACUUAGAAGGGGAAAAAUGUAAUUAAAGUGUCGCAAUGAAUAGUUUUUUUAGUCUUUAUGCAUGGUAUUCUCUAUAGUAUUUUGGUAACAUGUUUUCUUGUUUCUAUUAAUUAAAAAAAAUAUUAAAAUUAACUCUAAUUUUACCAGAUUAACAUUGAUUUUGAUUUGAAAAAAAAAAUCCAGCCCAAAUUACAUUUUGAGUCAAGAAGUCCCCAAUUAAUCCGUCAAGAGUCCACCAAGUUUAAUAUAUGUGCGAGGGAUCAAUUAUUUUAAUUUGAUUCUUUUAUAGUAUUAUUUUCUUGCGGUGGCUCUUUAUUUUUGUGGAAUUAGCCAUAACCCCUUCAAUUCUUUGUAAUUUUCUAUUUGUUGUCCGAGUUGUUGUGACUCUUCUCAAUUCUCACCAUCCUCUAGUGCUGGGCUGGCCGAAUGGAGACCUGCAAUUUUACAAAAGAGUUUAUGUAUGUCUUGUAAUUUGCUUUAAAUAAAUGUAAAAUAGUUGUAGGAUGAUUUUCUUAAUCAAAUUAAAAGGAUAAACUUUUUUAUUUAUUUAUUUUUAUAGCAUGUCAUGUAUUUAUGAUUUAAAGAAUAGGAUUGCAGGGGUGAAAUCAUCUACACCGGUGAUAUUGCUGGUGCUUUCUGCAUAAGAUCACAUCAAAAUGGAGUCAUUCGUUUUAAUUUUUGCAGAUUCCUUUGAAUGGUGCUAGUUAUUUUGGUGCUCUGAGUGUUUUGUGGAGCAAUGCAGGACUUCUUCUCAAUCAAAUCAUCAUAAUUAUAAUAUAAAAGCAAAAAUAUUAUCAGCACACACAAACACUUGGAUUGAAGAUAUAGAAAGUGUUUAUAAGUGUUAUGAGUCUUAUGAUAGUUAAUUUUUAAAAUGUUUUUUUAUUGAAAAUAUAUUAAUAUAUUAUUUUAUUUAUUUUUAAAGAAUUAUUUUUUACACCAACGUACCAAAACAAACAAAAAAAACUAAAAAAAAUCAAUUUAAAAAAAUAUAAAAAAAUCAAAAUUUAUAAAAACAUUGUUUAUGCCAUAAAGACAAACAGCUCCUAAAUGCCCUUUCCUACCACAUCACAAAUAAAAAGACCUGAAGCCUUUUGUACAUGGAAAAUUUAUGGGAAGUGCACCAGGGCUUGUAGCCCAGCGGCAGAGGCAAGGUUUCCUUGUCUCUGUCACCUGGGUUCGAGCCUUAGCGUGCACGCCUGUCACUCCCGCGGUGUUUUACUUACCUGCUGGGCUUGCAGGGUGUUCAGUGGAUCCGGGGAUUAGUUGUGGUGCGCGUAAGCUGGCCCGGACACCCCGGGUUACCAAAAAAAAAAAAAUUUUACGGGAAGUCAACAAUGUGCACCUUUUGUAAUGUCGUGAGAAAAUACUUGGAUUUAAAGUUUUUUAAUUUUUUAAUUUUAAAUUAAUUUUUUUGUUUUUUUUAUGUUAAAAAUAAAUUUUUAAAAAUAAAAAAAUAUUAUUUUAAUAUAUUUUCAAAUUAAAAAUAUUUUACAAAAUAAUAGCUGCUACAAUACUAAUAGUUUCUCUAAAAAAAUUAUUUUGUAUUGGACGAAACAGUUCAUUCGGUCCGGAUAGUAAAGUUUUCAUAACAAGUAGGGACAAACAAGUAAUUAACAAUAUAGUUAUCAAGACAUAUGCACUUGAAAUAUGAUGCCUUCGCAAUAAUAAAUGGUCCUAGAUUUCUCAAAUUCUAUGAUGACAAAGAUGAAAUGAUCUUUCCUUUUAAAAUGCACCUUCCUCCUAAUGGCCUCGAAUAUCUUUCUAGUAAGCUGAGAUAUUUGCACUGGUUUAGAUUCCCUUCGAAAUCCUUUCCGCCAUCUUUUCGUGCUGACCUCCUUGUCGAGCUUGACCCACGCGGAAGCAAGCUUGUAGAACUUUGGACAGGAGUAAAGGUAUGAUUUAAUUGCUGCAGAUUUAUGAUCACAAAUAUAAAGUUGGAGGUGCUAACUUUCUAAUUAUGCCUUUUUCUGUUGGCAGGAUGUUGGAAAUUUAAGAAAAAUUGACCUAUCUGACUCUCGAUAUUUGACGGAAUUGCCAGAUCUAUCAAAGGUCAAAAAUUUAGAGUGCUUAAAACUUGUGUUCUGUUCAAGUUUAGCCAGCUGUGAUAUGAUAAACAAGAAUAUAUAUAUAUAUUAUAUGCUUUUGAUUUUUAAAAAUUAUUUUUAUAUCAGUAAAUUAAAAAAAUAAAAAAAUUAAUUCUUUAAAAAAAUUAAAAUUUAUAAAAAUAGUGUCAAUACAACGUAUAAAUGCCUUUUUUUAUCGCAUCACUUUGUAACUGGGGAAUUUCCAGGAAAUCAACCAAUGGUUACUUCCGUAAUGCCAAAGAAAAUUCUUGGAUUUGAUGCCCCCUUUAUUAUAAAUUAUUCAUAUGCCUAAGGCAGGGUCUUCCACACGUAAAGCCUAAGCUACUGAUUCAAAAUCAGCCUCAUCUUUUUUCCUUGAGUUGCUUCCGCUCUCUCCCUCCAGACCUACCUUACCACCAGAGUCCUAACUCUUGUCUCUUCGAAAUGUUCGCGUAUAUAUCUCAAUCGCCAUCUACUCCUUCCACCUUAACCACCGGCCAUCCAAAAGGAAUUAAACAUGAUGUCUUCCUUAGUUUCAGCGAACAAGACACUCUGGCUGGUUUUACCAGCCAUCUCUAUGCUGCUUUGGACCGGAAACAAAUCCUAACUUUCAUAGAUUAUCAGCUUGUGAGAGGAGAUGAGAUUUCGGCAUCACUUCUGAGAACAAUUGAAGAGGCCAAGCUUUCUGUGAUUGUUUUUUCUGAAAACUAUGCAUCUUCCAAAUGGUGCUUGGAGGAGCUUGUAAGGAUUUUUGAGUGUAGAAAAAACAAUGGACAGAUAGUUAUUCCGGUAUUCUACAAGGUGGAUCCAACCCAUCUAAGACAUCAAACAGGAAGCUUUGGGGAUGCAUUUGCUAGACUUAUAAGGAAUAAAGCUCUGACGUUGGAAGAAGUGCAGAGCUUCAGAGACGCUUUGACGGAUGCAGCCAAUCUAUCUGGAUGGAGCUUAGGGAAUUCUGGGUAAGCUCUUGAAAAUCCCAUGAGAAAAUGUUCGUUCAUUUGUUGAGGAUUUGAAAUUUAAUUUAAAAUUAUUGAGAAUGAUGAGCUCUGUGAAUCCAUAUUUAUUUUAUUUGAUUUUGAAAACGUUGUAGCGAAACACUUCUGUAGAUAUUAUGUGGUUGGUUGUUCUGUGUAUUAAAAUAUUUGUUUUUUUAUUUAAAUAAUUAAUGUUUUUAGAUUAUUUUAAUGUGCUUGUAUUAAAAAAUAAAAAAGUAUUAUUUGUAGUCAAAUAUUUGUAUAGAUAUUAAGUGGUUGUUUGUUUUUCUGUUUUAAAAUGUUUUAUAAAAAAAUUAAAUUUUUUUAGUGUUUUUAUAUUAUUUUGAUAUGUUUGUAUUAAAAAUAAUUUUUUAAAAAAAUUAUUUGUAGUGAAAUGUUUGUAUACAUAUUAAGGUUUGUAUUGAUAUCAAGUGGCUGUUAGUUUUUGUGUUUCAAAAUGUUUUUUAAAAAUAAUUUUUUAAAAAAUAAUUUUUUUAUUUUAAAUUAUUGUUUUUAGUGUUUUUAAAUUAUUUUAAUGUAUUUAUAUAAAAAAUAUUAUUUAGAAGAUAUUAUGUUAAUAUAUUUUAAAAAAUAAUCAUCACUAUUUUCUUGAAUAUCCUUCAGUUUUAGAAAAUAAAUAGGACAGUAAAUGUUUUCUUCUGUCGUUAAAUAAUAUUCUAUUUAUUUGAGUAUUUAUUUGAGGUGAAAAGGAUAAUGCAAUAAUAAAAAAUAAUAUUGAUUGAGAUAUGAGAAAACAUCAUAUGCAUUUGCAUUUCAUUGAUUUUCUUAGAUAAACACCGAUUACAUGUAGUUUCCAGUUUCAAGGAUUGGUUAACUCAUACGUGCCUGCUACUAAGGAGUGAGUAUGUUUAUAUGUGUUCUUCUUGUUUGUCAGCCCGGAGUCUGAAUUUAUUGAGAAAAUCGUUGGAGAUGUUUUGAAAAAAUUGCACGCCAUGUCUUCAAGUCACACUAUGACGGGUCUAUUUGGAAUUGAUGUUCGUGUUAGCAAAGUUGAGUCUUUGUUAAAUAUGGAAUCUCCAGAUGUUCUCAUUAUAGGGAUAUGGGUAAUGGGUGGUAUCGGUAAGACAACGAUUGCUGAAGUUGUGCGUGACAACAUUCGUUCUCGAUUUGAAAGAAUCUUUUUUGCAAACUUGAGGCAAAAAUCUGAUUUGCGAAGAAAAUUUCUUAAACGGCUGCUUGGCCAAGAAACUCUGAACACUAUGGGCUCCUUGAGUUUUCGAGAUUCUUUUGUGAGGGAUAGACUUCGUCGAAUUAAGGUUUUCAUUGUUCUUGAUGAUGUGGAUGAUUUAAUGCGUUUGGAUGAAUGGAGAGAUUUGCUUGAUGGACGAAACAGUUCAUUUGGUCCAGGCAGUAAAGUUCUCAUAACAAGUAGGAACAAGCAAGUGCUUACUAAUGUAGUUGACCAAACAUACAAGGUUGGGGGGUUGAAUUAUGAAGAAGCUAUUCAACUCUUUAGCUCAAAAGCCUUGAAGACAUGCAUCCCCACAAUUGAUUAUAGGCACUUGAUAGAAAAGAUUGGAAGGCAUGUACAAGGCAAUCCAUUGGCCCUUAAAGUUUUGGGUUCCUCUCUCUAUGGUAAAAGCAUCGAAGAAUGGCAUAGUGCAUUGAAUAAACUAGCUCAGCACCCUCAAAUCGAAAAGGCGUUGAGAAUUAGUUACGAUGGGUUGGAUUCAGAACAAAAAUCCAUAUUUCUUGACAUAGCACAUUUCUUCAAAGGACGGAUGCUUAUAUUAGAUUGCUUCUAUGGUCGGUCUGUGAAAUUCGAUAUAAGCACGCUCAUUGAUAAGUGUCUCAUAAGUAUUGCAAAGGAUUCCUUAUUUGGUGACAAGCUAGAAAUGCAUGAUUUAGAGUUUAUAGAAGAAUUAAAUCUAAGUGGAACUGCUAUUAAAGAGGUGCCCUCGUCAAUCCAGUUUCUCACAAGACUCAUAAUGUUGGAUAUGAGUGGUUGCUCAGAACUUGAGAGCCUCCCAGAAAUCACAGUGCCUAUGAAAUCUUUGCUGUAUCUUAUCAUGAGUAAAACAGGCAUUAAAGAGAUACCUUUGAUAUCAUUUAAGCAUAUGAUAUCUUUGUGGUCUCUAAAAUUAGAUGGAACGCCUAUUAAAGUGUUACCUGAGCUUCCCCCUUCGCUGAGCCGUCUACGUACACAUGACUGUGCAUCACUAGAAACCGUGACAUCAAUCAUCAAUAUCGGCAGCUUAUGGGAUUUUACAAAUUGCUUCAAAUUGGAUCAGAAACCACUGGUAGCAGCAAUGCAUUUGAAAAUUCAGGUAUCCCUCUUAACCCUGACUUUAUUUCUUCUCUCUUUCUUGCUUGCUUCAUCACAUUUUCGAAAUGCGACUUGUGUGUUACAGUCCGGAGAGGAGAUCCCAGAUGGCAGAAUUCAAAUGGUUCUACCGGGGAGUGAAAUUCCAGAAUGGUUCGGUAACAAAGGAAUUGGAUCUUCACUCACCAUACGGUUGCCCUCAAAUUGUCAUCAGCUCAAGGGAAUUGCUUUCUGCCUUGUCUUUCUAGUCCCUCUUCCCUUCUAUAAGGUAUAUUAUAAUUACCAUGUUAAGAGUAAAAACGGUAAGCAUGAUGAAGUCGUCUUUGCUUCCCGGGAAGAACUGACUCUAACAGAUGUCUUGGUGUCAUGUGACUCAUAUCACAUGAUUCUACACUACGAGCUCGAAUUGGUAAAACAUUUGCGUAAACACUCUGGUAAUGAAGUUACAUUUAAAUUCUACCACCUUGAAGAGGACGACUGUGGGAGGAAGUUAGGUCGUGAUAUCCGAAGGCCUUUCAAGUUGAAAAGCUGUGGGGUGUAUCUGCACUUUGAUGAAAAUCUACUGGCGGACACGGAUCUUCCUUAACAAACAAAAGUUCAGAAGAAAAUUGAGGGAGAAAUAGAAGAAAUUGGAAGGGAGAGAGAGUUCUGUAAUUACUGCAAAUUGAUCUUCAAUUAUUACUUGGUUUUCAAGAUAGCUGUAAAUAUUGUUCUUCCCUUGCAACUAACUUUCUGUUAUUCAACUAAUUCCUCAACUAACUAUAACAACCAUCUAGCGCAUUUAUUCUUGCACAUGCAGAAUACUAUAGUCAUGUUUUGGAUCUUUGAUUACCAUUUACUAACCAAAUUACAAGAAAAACAGUAAGUACAUAAAAACUUUAAAUUCAGGAUUUUAUUAUUGUAUAUUUUAUAACUCUUUAAAUAAACUCAAAACUAGCUCAGACUAUUUUUUGAACCUAAUUUAGAAAAAUUCUAGAUCUGAGCUGAUUAUAAAUAAACUCAAAAAUCUAGAUUAUAACUAACCAACCUCAUUUUAAAACUGGAUCUUGACAAAAUCUAAGGAGUCUGAAAGUUAUAACUAAUUCCUCAACUAACUUCAGUUUCAGAUGGUUGGGAUUCAUGCUUUGCAGCAGCUUGCAGCACCCGGUUUUGAACAUCUGAAGAUGAAGGUGAUGUAGGUAAACCAAUGCGGUUGUUUUCCAGUUUUCCUAUCGCCCAUGAAAAUGCCUGGACUCCAAGUCUAACAGGAGAGAGAAAACACCUUCAAAGAAGCGUUUGAAAUCCUAGUUAAUCAAGAUCUCAACAAUCCAAAAACUUGGUUAAACAUGAUCCAACUACUGAAAAGAAACUACUUGCAAACGCAUUCAAAGAAGCAUUUGAGAUCCCAGUUAAUCAAAGAUCUCAAUAAUCCAAAAACUUGGUUAAACAUGAUCCAACUACUGGAAAGAAUCCAACUGUGAAAAUGAUUAAAUAACUUCUAAACGUCUGGUGGAGGUUAGGAAAUAUGAACCUUGAUAAUGUCAUAGGCAGUUUGCUUAUCAACACGACUCAGACUUCUGACAUGAUCAGAACAUGGUCAAGAACAUAGUGUUGAAAGAACAUUUAGACACAGAAGAGAUUUGCUAUAUAUAAAUUUUUCCGUGCCCUUUACUGUGCAAAGACCAAGGUUCAUUUUGUUAAUAAAAACUCAUCAUCCCAGUAAACAUGUGAUUUGGGUUGCUAAAUAAUGUUGUACUAACAUAUGACACCUAUCUAUCUAACAUGAUACUAGGUGCGUCUUAUAUAAUUCAUUGUGCAUGAAUAAACAGACUUGAUUUCAGACCUGGUUUCCAUUAUGAUUUACAAAAUUGUGCCAGUUACACCAUAAAUACACAUCUUGCUUAAAAUCUUCAGGGCCAUUGUAAGAAGCAAUCCGCUGAUAAAUAGUCUGGCAGAGUGUGAGAAACCAAUAAUUAGAGAAACUCAAGGUUCACUUAACUAAAUUUAGCAAUGACAUAAACCUUUCCCUAGGACACAUGCAAAAUAGACAAAGGGAAUCUAGCUUAAUGGUCGUAUACAUGCUAUUUUCAUGGAUUACAUCAAAGGAUCUGAGAAUUAGCACAAUAUCAGAAUGUGUGAAGUUUGUUUUAAUCAUUAUCAGCUUAGAAAUCAACAUUUAUGUGUGUGUGAAAGAAACAUUAACCAGAGCACUAUAACAAAUGAAAGUGUACCUGACUGAGGCCAAUGAUGGCAAUAAAUUGUAAGGUCUUCUCCCACUCUGAAAUAAAGUUCAAGCUUGGUUGGCAAGAAGAAUGUGAGGAAAGCAACAAAAAAGAAAAGAAAAAAAUAAAAAAAAACCAGAAUUUAUAUCAUUGGUUCUAUAUAAUACAACUUAAGUAUUUCAAACUCUUCAACAUUUUGGGGAGUUGUUCUUGAAAAGUAAUAGAGAGCCUGUCCAUGAGGAAGAAAAUGUACAAACCUAGCAAUGCAUAUGAUGCUGCAGCAAAACCCUGUCCACAGCGUGAAUAUAGUAUAAGUAAAGGAUGCACUGGACAUUUGCAUGGUAAGCAAUAGAUAUUUAUCAAUCAUGGAUUGAUGAAUAAUGAAGACCUGAUGUAAACAGCAUGAAUAGUUCUAGUUAAUCAUGUACACAUAUUUGUGGAAGCAUGUCUCUAGACCAUACAGAAGCAUACAUUCAAAACAGAGAAAUGAACCUGUAAUUAUUUUAUGUCCUUGCUACAAAAUAAAAAGAUCGUUCCCAUCCCAUAAACACAUCUCUCUAGAUACAAGAUAUCCUUUUUAAAAAAAAGAUGGAUUUUGGGGAAAAGAAAUCCAAGUGUAGAAAUGAUUGAAAUAGACUAAUCACAGUGCAGUAUCACAAAAAACAAUCUGAUUUCUUACCACACCAUACCCAAGUGUUUGCACUGGCGAAGGUUUGAUAUCUUCUAGAAUUGCUUCAGCCUCCUGAAAUGAUGCCAAGUUGUCACAACUCACAAGUAUAUUGUGAAAAGCUUAGAUCCUGCACAAGAAAAUCAAGCACUUCCAGAAAAUACUUGUAAUUAUAAUUUGCAAUCCAUGAAAAGAAUAGCACAGAUUGACAAAGCAUAUUGAAUGUGAAUCCUAAACGACCAAAUGGUCUUAGCAACAAGAAAAAUGUUGAUUGAAAUGCGAAGGUUGUUGAUUUGUAUGAACAAGGAGAACAACCUUCCUCCCAGAUUGUAAAAUGAUCCAACAAGUUAGCUUGCUGCAUAUAUCAAAAUAACUUUCUGAGUUGUAAUGAAUCAUAUCAACUUGUUUGAUUGAAUGUUUCAAAACGUUCAUGUAGACUUGGGCUCAGAUACUUAGGACACAACCUCUUGUUGAUUUCUUACUACAUUAUCUGCACAACAGCUUCAAGAGUUCUUUAGAGCAUGUUUGGCAGUGUGGUUGCGGGUGCUUUUCAAAUAACUUUUCGUGCCAAAAUGCAUGUCAAUGAUGUUUUUUUAUUUUUUAAAAAUUAUUUUUGACAUCAGCACAUCAAAACGAUCCAAAACAUACAAACCAUAUUCAAUUUUAGUAAAAAAAAAAAAAAAUUCAAAAUUUUUGGGAACGCAGCCGCAGCCGCGUUCCCAAACAUAGUCUUAAUCAGUUGCACCCAACACGUCGGAAAAUUUACGAAAACUACAGUUCGACUAACAAUCACUUCUCCAACUGAAUUCCAUAUAAUUCAAUCUGGUGCACCAAAGAAAUAAUUCAAUCUGAACCAAAAGUCUUUAACAAGAGAUGCCAAUUCUAACACCAUUAGAUUGCAUAAAGACAAAGUAAUCAUUUUUCUCAAGAAUCAACAAUUGGAUACUGUGCAUAACUUCACUUCAUAAAUCUGUGCACCGUCAUGCUUCGAAACAUACACAAUUCCUAUGGCCUACAUACCCAGUUUACGGUAGCCCAUCAAUUACAUAUACACAAACACUCAGGAUGCACAUGUUCAUACAAGUGUGAUUGCACAUAGCACGCUCUUUUUUUUUGUUUUUUUUUAAAUCUCUCUCUCUGCACCGUCAUGCUUCGAAACAUACACAAUUCCUAUGGCCUGCAUACCCAAUUUAUGGUAGCCCAUCAAUUACAUAUAUACAAACACUCAUGAUGCACAUGUUCAUACAAGUGUGAUUGCACAUAGCACACUCUUUUUAUUUGUUUUUGAAACAAGUCUGUUACGUACCUGGAUGCCAGAAUUGGGUGCAUUAUAGGAAAAGAAGAAGAAUGCAGGAAGUGCAGGAUUAAUAAUGUCUACAGCACGCAAUCUACUGAUGGUUGUUGAAAUUCUGUUAGUUAGUUAGCAUUAAGUCAGUUAACAGAGUUUGUUACAACAGUCAGAGCUAGCUAGAGUAAUCAGUUAGUAGUUAUUACAAUGACUAUAAAAGCAGAUGGCAGGAAUCACAUUAGACAGGAAAUAUAUGGAAUAUACACACAGAAAAUUCAGUCUCAACUCUUCUCCCUCGUAUUCUCUCUAAACAAUUCCUCUGUUCUCACCUCAUUUCUUCUUCACUUGUUAAGCAACCUUAACAAAGUCUCUCCACGUAAAUUUACACACGCACUGCACAGACACAAGUACAUCUCAUAUGCCUCUGUGUGUGCAUGUUGUUCUGUGCUGUGUGGAUACCAUUUUGAUAGUAUCCAUUGGGCACCAAUGUGCACCCAGCAAAGAAAUUUCACUCUUUCCAUGUGUUUUUGAAACAAAUGUCAAAUUAAUCAAUUCUCUAAGUUUAUCUCAGCUGGCUGAAUAUAUUAUUGUAUAAUCUACAGCUUGUCAUUUUCCACACAUAUACUUUGAGUUGAUCGAUGGCUUUCAGCAAAUAGAAUUUUGAAUUUCUAGAAAUUUAUACAUUGUUUUAUAUGCAUUUCAGCUUGUUUUCUAGAAAUUUAUAUGCAUUUAUAUCUAGAGAAUAUGCAAGUCAUGCAAUAACCUUACCUCAUUAAGUAUGGUUAGCAUGGUCUCAGGUUUAAGCUCCUUGGCUUGGAUACCUUGUUUUACCCAAGACUGGAAGCCACCUUGGACCAAGUAUGGUCUCUGUCACAUAAAAAUGCAAACAAACAAUUAGCAAUAUGAUACAAUAGGUUGUGGUUCCAGAUUAACAAUAGACUCACCUGGCAGUUCAAAUUUUCUUAUAAUGCAGG
This 14924-nucleotide long non-coding RNA is filed under the name Populus trichocarpa (black cottonwood). RNAcentral describes it as "long non-coding RNA (PTRI_LNC004272)". Lineage: Eukaryota; Viridiplantae; Streptophyta; Magnoliopsida; Malpighiales; Salicaceae. The record is from RNAcentral.